Molecule: long non-coding RNA, 554 nt
Organism: Balaenoptera acutorostrata (minke whale)
Lineage: Eukaryota; Metazoa; Chordata; Mammalia; Artiodactyla; Balaenopteridae
Exons: 3
Source: RefSeq, a predicted model, not a curated record
CAUCCUGACACAGUAUGCUUUGCCUAGCACAAUGUGAUGCCCUUUACCUAGUAAGAGUGAGUCUCAUAAAGGUGCUGCCUUCCCCCGCAGAACAAACAGCGGAAAUGCAUCAGGAGAGCUCAGCUGCAGACAGAAUGUACAUCGUGAAGCAGGAGCCACCACGGGAUUCCUUAGAUGAAAGCCGAUUUCAAUGAACAUUGUGUUUCAAAGCCUGCUUCCUCUUGCACCGUAAGAGCUGCAGAAGGAACAUCCCACUUACGUCUGCUGACACAAAAGAAUGCUGUGGUUGGGAGAUCUUAUCGAGCCUUCCUGUGCCACAGUAACAGAGCUCCACUUGUGUCUUGUAAGAAUUGUUCAUUGUUUCAUGGGGACGACUGGCUCCUUUGGGUGGGAUCUGACGGCAUCUCAUGGAAUGGAGCAAUAAGAGCAUGCCUUUGGGACAAUGGAUGGAAUCAGAGUUGAACUGAAGCCAACUCCAGUUUUUUAAGGAAAAUUUUUCAUGACACUUCCAGAUAAGAAAAUUGAGGCACAUAAGGAUUGAACAACUUACAAGG